RNAcentral lists this ribosomal RNA (468 nucleotides) under uncultured bacterium. RNAcentral's name for it is "bacterial SSU rRNA". It matches the Rfam family "Bacterial small subunit ribosomal RNA", at positions 29 to 419 of the family's 1533-position model. The record is from RNAcentral.
ACGAACGCUGGCGGCAGGCUUAACACAUGCAAGUCGGGCGGCCGUCCUUCAGACGGCGGAUGACAGAGAACGGAUGACAGAGGACAGAAGGGGCGCCCUUUUCUGUUGUCUGUCCUCUGUUGUCUGUUGUCUGUCCUCUGAUGGACGGCAGCGGCAGACGGGUGAGUAACGCGUGGGAAUCUACCCAUCCCUACGGAACAACUCCGGGAAACUGGAGCUAAUACCGUAUACGCCCUGGACUUUAUGUUUGGGGGAAAGAUUGAUCGGGGAUGGAUGAGCCCGCGUUGGAUUAGCUGGUUGGUGGGGUAAAGGCCUACCAAGGCGACGAUCCAUAGCUGGUCUGAGAGGAUGAUCAGCCACAUUGGGACUGAGACACGGCCCAAACUCCUACGGGAGGCAGCAGUGGGGAAUAUUGGACAAUGGGCGCAAGCCUGAUCCAGCCAUGCCGCGUGAGUGAUGAAGGCCCUA